UCCCUGGUGGUCUAGUGGUUAGGAUUCAACACUUUCACUGAGGAAGGUCUGGGUUCAAUCCCUGGUCUGGGAA
RNAcentral lists this transfer RNA (73 nucleotides) under Sus scrofa (pig). It matches the Rfam family "tRNA". From Rfam's summary of the family: Transfer RNA (tRNA) molecules are approximately 80 nucleotides in length. Their secondary structure includes four short double-helical elements and three loops (D, anti-codon, and T loops). The record is from Rfam by way of RNAcentral. Lineage: Eukaryota; Metazoa; Chordata; Mammalia; Artiodactyla; Suidae.